RNAcentral lists this small nuclear RNA (164 nucleotides) under Chelydra serpentina (North American snapping turtle). RNAcentral describes it as "U1 spliceosomal RNA (ENSCSRG00000012434.1)". It matches the Rfam family "U1 spliceosomal RNA". Rfam says of the family: U1 is a small nuclear RNA (snRNA) component of the spliceosome (involved in pre-mRNA splicing). Its 5' end forms complementary base pairs with the 5' splice junction, thus defining the 5' donor site of an intron. There are significant differences in sequence and secondary structure between metazoan and yeast U1 snRNAs, the latter being much longer (568 nucleotides as compared to 164 nucleotides in human). Lineage: Eukaryota; Metazoa; Chordata; Testudines; Chelydridae. The record is from Rfam by way of RNAcentral.
AUACUUAUCUGGCAGGGGAGAUACCAUGAUCAGCAAGGUGGUUUUCCCAGCGUGAGGCUCAUCCAUUGCACUGCGGGUGUGCUGACCUCUGUGAUUUCCCCAAAUGUGGGAAACUCAACUGCAGAAUUUGUGGUAGUGAGGGACUGCGUUCGCGCUUUCCCCUG